CCUACGGGAGGCAGCAGUGGGGAAUAUUGGGCAAUGGGCGCAAGCCUGACCCAGCAACGCCGCGUGAAGGAAGAAGGCUUUCGGGUUGUAAACUUCUUUUCUCAGGGACGAAGCAAGUGACGGUACCUGAGGACUAAGCCACGGCUAACUACGUGCCAGCAGCCGCGGUAAUACGUAGGUGGCAAGCGUUAUCCGGAUUUACUGGGUGUAAAGGGCGUGUAGGCGGGGAAGCAAGUCAGAUGUGAAAACCACGGGCUCAACCUGUGGCCUGCAUUUGAAACUGUGUUGCUAGAGUACUGGAGAGGCAGACGGAAUUCCUAGUGUAGCGGUGAAAUGCGUAGAUAUUAGGAGGAACACCAGUGGCGAAGGCGGUCUGCUGGACAGCAACUGACGCUGAGGCGCGAAAGCGUGGGGAGCAAACAGGAUUAGAUACCCGAGUAGUC
This 443-nucleotide ribosomal RNA is filed under the name uncultured bacterium. RNAcentral describes it as "partial 16S ribosomal RNA". It matches the Rfam family "Bacterial small subunit ribosomal RNA", at positions 338 to 795 of the family's 1533-position model. The record is from RNAcentral.